CCUACGGGAGGCAGCAGUAAGGAAUAUUGGACAAUGCCCGCAAGGGUGAUCCAGCCAUGCCGCGUGCAGGAAGAAGGCCCUAUGGGUCGUAAACUGCUUUUACACCGGAGAAAACCUCCCUUCGUGAAGGGAGCUGAUAGUAUGGUGAGAAUAAGCAUCGGCUAACUUCGUGCCAGCAGCCGCGGUAAGACGAAGGAUGCAAGCGUUAUCCGGAUUCAUUGGGUUUAAAGGGAGCGUAGGUGGACUGAUAAGUCAGUGGUGAAAUCUUCGAGCUUAACUCGGAAAUUGCCAUUGAUACUGUUAGUCUUGAGUACAGUUGCUGUGGGCGGAAUAUGACAUGUAGUGGUGAAAUACAUAGAGAUGUCAUAGAACACCGAUUGCGAAGGCAGCUCACAAAGCUGUAACUGACACUGAGGCUCGAAAGUGCGGGGAUCAAACAGGAUUAGAUACCCUGGUAGUCCGCACUGUAAACGAUGAUUACUCGCUGCUAGAGGGCAACUUUUAGUGGCUUAGCGAAAGCGAUAAGUAAUCCACCUGGGGAGUACGCCGGCAACGGUGAAACGUCAAAGGAAUUGACGG
Molecule: ribosomal RNA, 579 nt
Filed under: uncultured bacterium
Lineage: Bacteria
Description: bacterial SSU rRNA
Rfam family: Bacterial small subunit ribosomal RNA
Source: RNAcentral